UACGUAGGCAGCAAGCGUUGUUCGGAGUUACUGGGCGUAAAGGGUGUGUAGGCGGUUCUUUAAGUUUGGUGUGAAAUCUCCCGGCUCAACCGGGAGGGUGCGCCGAAUACUGAGGGACUAGAGUGUGGGAGAGGAAAGUGGAAUUCCUGGUGUAGCGGUGAAAUGCGUAGAUAUCAGGAGGAACACCGGUGGUGUAGACGGCUUUCUGGACCAUAACUGACGCUGAGACACGAAAGCGUGGGUAGCAAACAGG
This 253-nucleotide ribosomal RNA is filed under the name uncultured bacterium. RNAcentral's name for it is "partial 16S ribosomal RNA". It matches the Rfam family "Bacterial small subunit ribosomal RNA", at positions 524 to 776 of the family's 1533-position model. The record is from RNAcentral.